UCUAGCUAUUUUUAUAUACGAUCACCAACCCUUGAUAACUACUAGUAUAAUGAUUUAGUUUCUUAUAAGACUUCAUAAUAUUCGUCUACUUUAAAUUAAGACCACAACACUCGAUCUCCUCUUCAUAAUCUUCAGCUCCCGUCAGCUUAUCAUUAAGUUAGAAUGCUCCAAACCGAUCACAGCCAAUCUUCUGCUGCUGUAGUGGAAAAACCUCCACAGGGGCAGUACACAGGCCCCCCGCCGAUAGGCUAUCCAACAAGAGAUGUGAUGUUGGGUGAUCCUCCUGCGGCCGCAGUGGAGACGAAGUCUAAGGGCGAUGGGUUUUGGAAAGGAUGUUGUGCUGCCAUAUGCUGCUGUUGUGUUCUGGACGCAUGCUUCUGAGACUCCGGAGUUUACAAUUUUUAUGUAAAUUAUUGCUGUAAUAAAAAGAAGCUUAUAUUUGAUGAUAGUUGUUUUACAUAAUUACUCUCUAUGUGGAAUAUACUCUGUGGAUGAUUGUCGUUGUUAUGUUUCGGGUAUAUUAAGUGAACGUAUUAUACACUAAAGUGAA
Long non-coding RNA from Brassica oleracea var. oleracea, 550 nucleotides. RefSeq lists it as uncharacterized. The record is from RefSeq and is a predicted model, not a curated record. NCBI's taxonomy places the organism in Eukaryota, Viridiplantae, Streptophyta, Magnoliopsida, Brassicales, Brassicaceae. The transcript has 3 exons.